UACGGAGGGGGCAAGCGUUGUUCGGAGUUACUGGGCGUAAAGCGCGCGUAGGCGGUGCGGUAAGUCAGGGGUUAAAGGCUGCAGCUCAACUGCAGUAAGGCCUUUGAUACUAUCGCGCUAGAGUACCAGAGAGGAUGGCGGAAUUCCCGGUGUAGCGGUGAAAUGCGUAGAUAUCGGAAGGAACACCAGUAGCGAAGGCGGCCUUCUGGGCCUGUACUGACGCUCAUGCACGAAAGCGUGGGGAGCAAACCGG
Molecule: ribosomal RNA, 253 nt
Filed under: uncultured microorganism
Description: partial 16S ribosomal RNA
Rfam family: Bacterial small subunit ribosomal RNA
Source: RNAcentral